CCCAAGGCGCCUCCCCGCCCUGUUUCUGCCGUGAAAUAAGCGUGGCUGAUCCACGAAACCACGAAGCGUGAGGAGAGAGGGAGGAAUCCACUGAUUCCACGGCAGCCACAGCAGCCCCAGGCGCCACAGCAGCCCCAGGAACCGCUGGUGGAGCCGCCGGAGCAGUGAAUCUUUAAGAUUGAUUGAUCUAUGGGUAAUUCAAGCCUAAUCCACGUUCUUGAUGACUGGCUA
Long non-coding RNA from Selaginella moellendorffii, 231 nucleotides. RefSeq lists it as uncharacterized. The record is from RefSeq and is a predicted model, not a curated record. NCBI's taxonomy places the organism in Eukaryota, Viridiplantae, Streptophyta, Lycopodiopsida, Selaginellales, Selaginellaceae. The transcript is spliced from 2 exons.